Molecule: unclassified non-coding RNA, 434 nt
Filed under: soil metagenome
Description: partial contains 5.8S ribosomal RNA, internal transcribed spacer 2, and large subunit ribosomal RNA
Rfam family: 5.8S ribosomal RNA (bases 1-121)
Source: RNAcentral
GAUGAAGAACGUAGCGAAAUGCGAUAAGUAAUGCGAAUUGCAGAAUUUCCGUGAAUCAUCGAAUCUUUGAACGCAUAUUGCGCUCUCUGGUAUUCCGGAGAGCAUGCUUGUUUGAGUAUCAGUAAACACCUCAACUCCCUUUUCUUUUUUGAAAUGGGAGCUGGACUUGAGUGAUCCCAACACUUUUCUCACUGGAAAGUGGCGGGUCACUUGAAAUGCAGGUGCAGCUGGACUUUUCUCUGAGCUAUAAGCAUAUCUAUUUAGUCUGCCUAAAAAACAGAUUAUUACCUUUGCUGCAGCUAACAUAAAGGAGAUGAGUUCUUGUGCUGACUGAUGCAGGAUUCACAGAGACAGCUUUGCGGCUGACUUUGUAAACUCGAUCUCAAAUCAAGUAAGACUACCCGCUGAACUUAAGCAUAUCAAUAAGCGGAGGA